RNAcentral lists this long non-coding RNA (380 nucleotides) under Capsicum annuum. RNAcentral describes it as "long non-coding RNA (CANN_LNC018073)". Lineage: Eukaryota; Viridiplantae; Streptophyta; Magnoliopsida; Solanales; Solanaceae. The record is from RNAcentral.
UUUUAUCAUUGUUGAGUUCCUACGUUCUCUUGGCUUACAAUUUUUAUCUUAUGUACUACCGUUUUAUAUCUAGCAUCAUGUGCAUAACCCGAGUCAUUCUUUCUGCAACAAGUCCUGAAGUGCACGUCGUGUACAAGAACACGAGUUGAGUCACUCUUAUUUUAGGAGGGGGAACCGUCGGUGUUUUGGAGUUGGUGGAAAGCUUUCGCAGCCACUAUCGACCAUACGCAUCCCCGAGCAGCCUUGUUAGUAAACCCCAGCGUAGGUUAGCCUUUAGGUCAUACUUAUGUGCAUCAUAUUGAGACCUAGUGGGGCCCAUUUGGUCCUUUGUAUGAGACUCACCUCUAAAGCAUCCCUAUGUGCUAAAUGUUACAUCUUUG